Molecule: unclassified non-coding RNA, 402 nt
Filed under: soil metagenome
Description: partial contains 5.8S ribosomal RNA, internal transcribed spacer 2, and large subunit ribosomal RNA
Rfam family: 5.8S ribosomal RNA (bases 1-121)
Source: RNAcentral
GAUGAAGAACGUAGCGAAAUGCGAUAAGUAAUGUGAAUUGCAGAAUUCAGUGAAUCAUCGAAUCUUUGAACGCACCUUGCGCCCUUUGGCUAUUCCGAAGGGCGUGCCUGUUUGAGUAUCGUGAACACCUCAACUCUCAUGGUUUGCCAUGAUGAGCUUGGACUUUGGGGGUUUUGCUGGCCUUUGGUCGGCUCCUCUCAAACGGGUCAGCUUUCCAGUGUUUGGUGGCGUCACGGGUGUGAUAACUAUCUACGCCUGUGGUUUUCUGCCAGAUAACCUUCAGCGAUGGAGGUUCGCUGGGGCUCAUAAAUGUCUCUCUUCAGUGGAGACAGCUUUUUGGACGUUUGAUCUCAAAUCAGGUAGGACUACCCGCUGAACUUAAGCAUAUCAAUAAGCGGAGGA